This 425-nucleotide ribosomal RNA is filed under the name uncultured bacterium. RNAcentral's name for it is "partial 16S ribosomal RNA". It matches the Rfam family "Bacterial small subunit ribosomal RNA", at positions 354 to 796 of the family's 1533-position model. The record is from RNAcentral.
GUGGGGAAUAUUGGACAAUGGGCGAAAGCCUGAUCCAGCAAUGCCGCGUGAGUGAUGAAGGCCCUAGGGUUGUAAAGCUCUUUUACCCGGGAUGAUAAUGACAGUACCGGGAGAAUAAGCCCCGGCUAACUCCGUGCCAGCAGCCGCGGUAAUACGGAGGGGGCUAGCGUUGUUCGGAAUUACUGGGCGUAAAGCGCGCGUAGGCGGCUUUGUAAGUUAGCGGUGAAAGCCCGGGGCUCAACCCCGGAACUGCCUUUGAAACUAGGUAACUAGAAUCUUGGAGAGGUCAGUGGAAUUCCGAGUGUAGAGGUGAAAUUCGUAGAUAUUCGGAAGAACACCAGUGGCGAAGGCGACUGACUGGACAAGUAUUGACGCUGAGGUGCGAAAGCGUGGGGAGCAAACAGGAUUAGAUACCCUAGUAGUCC